UGGGGAAUAUUGGACAAUGGGCGAACGCCUGAUCCAGCCAUGCCGCAUGAGUGAAGAAGGCCUUUGGGUUGUAAAGCUCUUUUAGUGAGGAAGAUAAUGACGGUACUCACAGAAGAAGUCCUGGCUAACUCCGUGCCAGCAGCCGCGGUAAUACGGAGAGGGCUAGCGUUAUUCGGAAUUAUUGGGCGUAAAGGGCGCGUAGGCUGGUUAAUAAGUUAAAAGUGAAAUCCCGAGGCUUAACCUUGGAAUUGCUUUUAAAACUAUUAAUCUAGAGAUUGAAAGAGGAUAGAGGAAUUCCUGAUGUAGAGGUAAAAUUCGUAAAUAUUAGGAGGAACACCGGUGGCGAAGGCGUCUAUCUGGUUCAAAUCUGACGCUGAAGCGCGAAGGCGUGGGGAGCAAACA
Molecule: ribosomal RNA, 402 nt
Filed under: uncultured bacterium
Lineage: Bacteria
Description: partial 16S ribosomal RNA
Rfam family: Bacterial small subunit ribosomal RNA
Source: RNAcentral